Molecule: long non-coding RNA, 201 nt
Filed under: Nicotiana benthamiana
Lineage: Eukaryota; Viridiplantae; Streptophyta; Magnoliopsida; Solanales; Solanaceae
Description: long non-coding RNA (NBEN_LNC006870)
Source: RNAcentral
GGACAUUCCAGAGAGUUCUCUCGUUUCUCUCUCGUUCUCUCACUGUAUCUCUCGUCAUUUUUACCUUCAAUCUGUAUGUUUUCAUGGUAUCAGAGCGGGAUGAUCCUCGGAUUCUUCUCCGUUACUUGUUAUCGAUCGUGUUGGAAGUUCUAUUGAAGGUUUUUCUCUGGAUAUUUGUGAGAGAUUCUGUUUACCGAGAGA